RNAcentral lists this ribosomal RNA (228 nucleotides) under uncultured bacterium. Its description in RNAcentral is "partial 16S ribosomal RNA". It matches the Rfam family "Bacterial small subunit ribosomal RNA", at positions 568 to 795 of the family's 1533-position model. The record is from RNAcentral.
UGCGCAGGCGGACUAUUAAGUCAGUGGUGAAAUCUCCCGGCUCAACCGGGAAACUGCCAUUGAUACUGAUAGUCUUGAGUAUAGUUGUAGUGGGCGGAAUAUAGCAUGUAGCGGUGAAAUGCUUAGAUAUGCUAUAGAACACCGAUCGCGAAGGCAGCUCACUAAACUAUAACUGACGCUCAGGCACGAAAGCGUGGGGAGCAAACAGGAUUAGAUACCCUGGUAGUC